UACGGAGGGUGCAAGCGUUGCUCGGAAUUAUUGGGCGUAAAGGGUAGGUAGGUGGUCUCAUUUGUCUGGGGUGAAAUCCUUGAGCUUAACUCAAGAAGUGCCCCAGAAACGGUGAGACUCGAGUCCUGGAGAGGUGAGCGGAAUUCCCGGUGUAGCGGUGAAAUGCGUAGAGAUCGGGAGGAACACCAGAGGCGAAGGCGGCUCACUGGACAGGCACUGACACUCAACUACGAAAGCGUGGGGAGCAAACAG
This 252-nucleotide ribosomal RNA is filed under the name uncultured bacterium. RNAcentral's name for it is "partial 16S ribosomal RNA". It matches the Rfam family "Bacterial small subunit ribosomal RNA", at positions 524 to 775 of the family's 1533-position model. The record is from RNAcentral.